GACGAACGCUGGCGGCGUGCCUAACACAUGCAAGUCGAGCGGAGUCGAUCGACGGAAGCCUUCGGGCGGAAGAUGGUUGACUUAGCGGCGGAUGGGUGAGUAACGCGUGGGCAACCUGCCUCGAAGACCGGGAUAACAGCCCGAAAGGGCUGCUAAUACCGGAUGUGGUCAAAGAUCCGCAUGGAUUUUUGAUUAAAGGGGAAACCCGUUUCGAGAUGGGCCCGCGUCCUAUCAGCUAGUUGGUGAGGUAAAAGCUCACCAAGGCGACGACGGGUAGCCGGCCUGAGAGGGUGACCGGCCGACACUGGAACUGAGACACGGUCCAGACUCCUACGGGGGCAGCAGUGGGGAAUCUUCCACAAUGGCGAAAGCCUGAUGGAGCGACGCCGCGUGAGCGAAGAAGGCCUUCGGGUUGUAAAGCUACUGUCUGGAGGGACGAAGGAAGUGACGGUACCUCCGGAGGAAGCACGGCUAACUACGUGCCAGCAGCCGCGGUAAUAUCACGUUA
RNAcentral lists this ribosomal RNA (508 nucleotides) under uncultured bacterium. Its description in RNAcentral is "bacterial SSU rRNA". It matches the Rfam family "Bacterial small subunit ribosomal RNA", at positions 28 to 530 of the family's 1533-position model. The record is from RNAcentral.